RNAcentral lists this ribosomal RNA (468 nucleotides) under uncultured bacterium. Its description in RNAcentral is "partial 16S ribosomal RNA". It matches the Rfam family "Bacterial small subunit ribosomal RNA", at positions 28 to 507 of the family's 1533-position model. The record is from RNAcentral.
GACGAACGCUGGCGGCGUGCUUAACACAUGCAAGUCGAACGGAAAGGCCCUGCUUUUGUGGGGUGCUCGAGUGGCGAACGGGUGAGUAACACGUGAGUAACCUGCCCUUGACUUUGGGAUAACUUCAGGAAACUGGGGCUAAUACCGGAUAGGAGCUCCUGCUGCAUGGUGGGGGUUGGAAAGUUUCGGCGGUUGGGGAUGGACUCGCGGCUUAUCAGCUUGUUGGUGGGGUAGUGGCUUACCAAGGCUUUGACGGGUAGCCGGCCUGAGAGGGUGACCGGACACAUUGGGACUGAGAUACGGCCCAGACUCCUACGGGAGGCAGCAGUGGGGAAUAUUGCACAAUGGGCGGAAGCCUGAUGCAGCAACGUCGCGUGCGGGAUGACGGCCUUCGGGUUGUAAACCGCUUUCGCCUGUGACGAAGCGUGAGUGACGGUAAUGGGUAAAGAAGCACCGGCUAACUACGUG